This 702-nucleotide ribosomal RNA is filed under the name uncultured Glomeromycotina. Its description in RNAcentral is "SSU rRNA". It matches the Rfam family "Eukaryotic small subunit ribosomal RNA", at positions 346 to 1045 of the family's 1831-position model. Lineage: Eukaryota; Fungi; Glomeromycota. The record is from RNAcentral.
AUGGUGGUAACGGGUAACGGGGUGUUAGGGCACGACACCGGAGAGGGAGCCUGAGAAACGGCUACCACAUCCAAGGAUGGCAGCAGGCGCGCAAAUUACCCAAUCCCGACACGGGGAGGUAGUGACAAUAAAUAACAAUACGGGGUUCUUUUGGAUUUCGUAAUUGGAAUGAGUACAAUUUAAAUCCCUUAACGAGGAACAAUUGGAGGGCAAGUCUGGUGCCAGCAGCCGCGGUAAUUCCAGCUCCAAUAGCGUAUAUUAAAGUUGUUGCAGUUAAAAAGCUCGUAGUUGAAUUUCGGGAUUGACGUGAUGGUCAUGCCUUAAGGGGUAUGAACUGUCACAGUUGAUUUCUCACCUUCUGGAGAAACUUGAUGUCCUUUAUUGGGUGUCUUGCGGAUCCAGGACCUUUACCUUGAAAAAAUUAGAGUGUUUAAAGCAGGCAUUUUUGCUCGAAUACAUUAGCAUGGAAUAAUAGAAUAGGACGGCAUGGUUCUAUUUUGUUGGUUUCUAGGAUCACCGUAAUGAUUAAUAGGGAUAGUUGGGGGCAUUAGUAUUCAAUUGUCAGAGGUGAAAUUCUUGGAUUUAUUGAAGACUGACUACUGCGAAAGCAUUUGCCAAGGAUGUUUUCAUUAAUCAAGAACGAAAGUUAGGGGAUCGAAGACGAUCAGAUACCGUCGUAGUCUUAACCAUAAACUAUGCCGA